GACGAACGCUGGCGGCGUGCUUAACACAUGCAAGUCGAACGAAGAGCGAUGGAAGCUUGCUUCUAUCAAUCUUAGUGGCGAACGGGUGAGUAACGCGUAAUCAACCUGCCCUUCAGAGGGGGACAACAGUUGGAAACGACUGCUAAUACCGCAUACGAUCUAACCUCGGCAUCGAGGAUAGAUGAAAGGUGGCCUCUACAUGUAAGCUAUCACUGAAGGAGGGGAUUGCGUCUGAUUAGCUAGUUGGAGGGGUAACGGCCCACCAAGGCGAUGAUCAGUAGCCGGUCUGAGAGGAUGAACGGCCACAUUGGGACUGAGACACGGCCCAGACUCCUACGGGAGGCAGCAGUGGGGAAUCUUCCGCAAUGGACGAAAGUCUGACGGAGCAACGCCGCGUGAGUGAUGACGGCCUUCGGGUUGUAAAGCUCUGUUAAUCGGGACGAAAGGCCUUCUUGCGAAUAGUUAGAAGGA
RNAcentral lists this ribosomal RNA (471 nucleotides) under Veillonella parvula. Its description in RNAcentral is "bacterial SSU rRNA". It matches the Rfam family "Bacterial small subunit ribosomal RNA", at positions 28 to 476 of the family's 1533-position model. Lineage: Bacteria; Bacillati; Bacillota; Negativicutes; Veillonellales; Veillonellaceae. The record is from RNAcentral.